Molecule: ribosomal RNA, 72 nt
Filed under: Symbiodinium sp.
Lineage: Eukaryota; Dinophyceae; Suessiales; Symbiodiniaceae
Description: partial 5.8S ribosomal RNA
Source: RNAcentral
AACCAAUGGCCUCUUGAACGUGCAUUGCGCUCUUGGGAUAUGCCUGAGAGCAUGUCUGCUUCAGUGCUUCUA